Non-coding RNA from Misgurnus anguillicaudatus (oriental weatherfish), 2611 nucleotides. The record is from RefSeq and is a predicted model, not a curated record. Lineage: Eukaryota; Metazoa; Chordata; Actinopteri; Cypriniformes; Cobitidae.
UUAAAAUUGAUGUGUUAAAAAUUAACACAAAAUAUGUGUAAAAGGAUUCUAACACAUUUUUGUGUUGGAACUGACACAUAAUGUGUAAAUAUUAUGCUUUACUGCUUACACAAUGAAUGUGUAAAACACGUUAACCAGUACAAAAUAAAAUGAAAUGCAUAAUUAUUGUAGUUUAAUGACGAUUUAUAUUUAAACGAAUUAACACGAAAAAAUGUGAUAUAAAACACUAUAUCCUGUCGUUUUCAUAAAAAAAGUGAUUUAGGCAGCGUGCACUGACACUGAUUAUCCUGUACUUUUGUUUGUUAUAAAAACCAAAUAUCAUAUAUAACACAUUCCUUUAUCAAGUAUAAGAUGUUUGUGCAACAGGAAAUAUACAAGCAAGUUCGGUCAAAAGCACAAAUAAGUCUGCACUUCACCACAAAGUUAAAUAAAAAAUAUAAAGUUUUACAAUGCAACUUUGUCCUUAGUCAAAACGAUUUGCCCAGGAACAGAUAAUAUAUUUAUGAGACCAAAGAUUGUCCAUAAGACAGUACCGAAAAUAAAAUAUAUAUAACACUGUUAACCACUACUAACACAUAACACCCAGCGGCCAGCGGUGAUUUUCAGAAGGACUUGCCGAGAUCAAGCUGCGUUGGGCGGGGUACAUGAGCGCUAAGUACCCGUUGGUUGUCUGGAUCAGAAAUCCGAAAAAGUCGGGGCAGAUUUUUUAAUAAACGCUCUCUUUAUAAACCGACCGCAAAUUUGAACUUUUUAUACAUACAUUCUCGCCUAAAAAGCUUUUGAACAUACACUUUGUGACACAAUAAGAGUAAUAUUUCAAACAUUAUGCAGGCGUUCUCUUCCAUUGGUGGCUGUCAUAAGUUCACACGAAUCUGCUGAUGACGUUUCACAUGGACAGACAACUACGCAUUAUUGUAUUUUUAAUUGUAUUUUUUGCGUGUGUUAUUUUUAUUUAAUUAUUAUGAAAAUCAUGGUCAUUAUUAUUGAGCCUUGGCUGGCAGUCUGUUUUUAAUUUGUUUUAUUGAAAAAACAAACACACAACGCUUAUUGUGUUGCGCCUGCGCAGUGACUUUCUUUUCCAACCGCCUUUCCAGUCAAGAGGACGUGACGAAUGUUCCUGUCUGCAUCAGCUAUCCAUCUGAAAAAGAAAAGCUGGCACUCUCAAAGGAGAUUGUGUUUUUGGAUUAUGGUCUCAUUUGGUCAAAAAGAGGGACAUGUACCGAGCAUUUUUUUUUUUUUUUUUUUUUUUUUUUUGAUGGGCCAUCACACAGUGGAUUUAUAAAAAUGAGAUUACAGAACAUCAGACGGUAGCUUCAACAGAGUUGAAGUGGGAGGACAUCAUCAAUUAAGAAUGCCAUUGACCAAACCUUAAGUCAUCAAAGAAGAUGGAUACAGGGGGACAUCCAGUUUUCCAGACUUACCGAUGGGAAAGAAGAAAUGGGAAUGUGACAAUUAUUGAGAAACUCGGAAAAAGCAUCUUUAGAGAAGAAAAUGGACAUCAGACAUUUAUUGAAGAAAGCUGACAGUCAACAUAAUGAUGAGAGCUGUGUUAUACAAUGUUAAGGAUACUCGUUCAUCUUCUGCUGUGUGAAUUCUGCUGUGUCAGUCCUGUGGGACUUGAUGCCGGCUGGUAGCAGUGUGACGUCUUUGCUUACUAAAUGAUCAAAGGGUGUCUGAAAUCAGCUCAGCCACAGUUGGUUUCCAACGGUUCUUCAGGACAUGGAGGCCACUACGUAACUGUUGCAAUGAACGAUUCUUUUGCCUUUCCACCUGAUGUUGACAAUCUGACCUGUGCGGUACUGAAAACCACUUGCACUGACAUAUCUUAAAAUAUAUCAGUGUCCUUUGUUUUGCCUCAAAAUGCACACCAGUAAUGUUUUUUGUUGAAACCAGUUAUAUUUCCUAAUUAAACUAAGGCCUAGUCCUGGAUUAAGCUAAUCCACUGUCCGGGAAACCGCCCCUAAAUGUUUUGUGACGGAAAUUUCUUUGAAUACACUUGUCAAGUUCAUUUUAAGUAUUUUUCUAAAUGUAAGAUAACAUGUUAAUGUUUCAGGACAAGUUAAAAAUUUUUGAUAAUUUGCAUGUUGGAAACGAUUUCAUACAUUGUUCUAUUCAACAUGUUUAGCACAGUUGCUUUUAAAUUCAAUGAAUUAUUUUAUAAAUAGUGUUUUAAAACGUAUCAAUGUAAUGUAUGUUUGAAGUUAUUAUACUUGCACUUACAUUUAUUUAAAUUAGCAUACAUCUAGCAACAUAGAGUACUAGCAUAUUUUCAUGCAAGCAUUAAUUGUCAAAUAUUUGUUAUUUUACAAAUAAAUAGUUUGUGAACAAUAUUCAAUAGUUGUCUGCUUGAUUUCAUAAUUUAAAGUUUACAAAUCAUAUGUUUUUUUUUCUCUUUAAUAUUAAAACUAAACAAUUACUCGGUAACACACAGUUGUGUUAGAUUAAUAGAAAGUUACACAUUAAUGUGUUUACUGAAGCAACACAUUUUUGUGUUGCAUUUUAUAACACAUAUUCUGUGUUAAAUUUAACUCAACAUGUGUUGUCCCUGCGCACACUCAGAACAUGUGUAAAAAAUAACACAUGUUGUGUUGUUUUUAACACAUUUGUUUUA